UACAGAGGUCUCAAGCGUUGUUCGGAUUCAUUGGGCGUAAAGGGUGCGUAGGCGGCGCGGUAAGUCGGGUGUGAAAUCUUGGAGCUUAACUCCGAAACUGCAUUCGAUACUGCCGUGCUUGAGGACUGGAGAGGAGACUGGAAUUUACGGUGUAGCGGUGAAAUGCGUAGAUAUCGUAAGGAAGACCAGUGGCGAAGGCGGGUCUCUGGACAGUUCCUGACGCUGAGGCACGCAGGCCAGGGGAGCAAACGGG
Molecule: ribosomal RNA, 253 nt
Filed under: uncultured bacterium
Lineage: Bacteria
Description: partial 16S ribosomal RNA
Rfam family: Bacterial small subunit ribosomal RNA
Source: RNAcentral